This is a long non-coding RNA of Etheostoma spectabile (orangethroat darter), 839 nucleotides long. RefSeq lists it as uncharacterized. The transcript has 3 exons. Lineage: Eukaryota; Metazoa; Chordata; Actinopteri; Perciformes; Percidae. The record is from RefSeq and is a predicted model, not a curated record.
ACCUGGGGAAGGAACCACCUGGAGACUCAUCACAGAGACCAAGACACCAAGACCCCGAGAGACCAAGAGACAAAAAGAUGGCGGAACUGUUCAAAAAAGGAUUGAAGGGCGUGCUUCAUUUAGGAGAAGAGAUAGUGAAGGAGGUCAUUGAGCAUGAAGUGGAGCAUAAAUUGGAGGAGGCCAGACACCACCACCAUGAGAAGAAAGAGGAACACGCACCCAAUGACUCAGAAGAUUAUAGCAAUCCUUCAAAUGACUAUUACGGGCCUGAGGAUGAUUCCUCUGAAGAGAACUAAAACCUGCAGACCACGUCCUCCUAAAGACCCAUUUACUGCUCCUUGUUCCUCUAAAGAUGAACUUUAACUGUUUUUAGGAGACGUAAUCUGAGGAGACCACCUGGAGGUUAGGGGGGUAAAUCCUGUGUUUUUAAUUAGGACAACAGGUGUUUUAGGAUGGAUGUUUUAACUGGGGUGAUAUAUAUUCAUAUACGUAUUUAAGAGUUCAUGCUCAAAUGCUUUUAAAGCUGCGUGAGAUAAUAAUAAAGUGAAAAAGACAUGACAACCUCUUUCCAGAAGAGACAGUUAAUGUUUGUUACUCCUCCUGAAGAUGAGCUUCACGUUUGACUUCAACACGCCAGCGUCACAUGGUCACAGUGUCAUUAAAGCACAAAUGGGACGUUUCAUAAUCUGGAGGCAAAAACGUGUUUUUAAGAACUAAAACCAAUCAAAUCAAGUGUUUUAAUUAGGUCACCCAGUGUUUUGGGAUGCAUGUUGUAAAUGUGGUGAUGAGUAAUAAUAUAUAAUAAAGAUGUUAAGCCCAAAUGCAUUUGAAGCUGGGUG